UCUUAAAAAUAAAAUGCCAUAUCUCCUUCGUCUUUUUGGCCAUGGCCUCCGCCGAGAUCGAUUCUGAUGCUUCGUCGGUGCGCUCCUCUGGAUCACUGACAUGAGGCUCUGGAGAGAGCCUUUUCCUCCUCCGGUGAGAGAUCAUGAAGGACCGUGAGAUCGGUAGGUCCAGGUGUUUCGGAUUCGUCACCUUCAGCAACGACAAGGACAUGCGGAACGGGAUCCGAGGAUGCCAGAGCCUUCAUUUGAGGGUGACCAUGGGAACAACAUGGAAGCCAACCUCACCACUAUCUAUCAAGAUCACAAUGACAGAUUUGCACCAUUACACCAAUUAGUUAUUAGAGGCUGUCUUUUGCAGCAUUCACACUGCCUGACAACUAGUGGACAUUGACUGUUUUCUCACUGAAUCAGGAAAUAUGUUUUUUUUCUGAAAGCAAACUGCCUACCAGUGCUGCAGCUUAUUGCAAUUGAUCUAUAGCCGAUGAAACUUUAGGACGAAGCAGCUGAGUCGGUGGAAUUUCAGUCGAAUAUCUCCGCUUUAUUUUUCAGGAAAAAUGUCUGUAAUGUUUCUUCUCCUCCUCCGUCUGUCAUGGUUCCACCACGUUUAUGGUCCAAUAAGCCCAUAUUACCCCAAAAAUUAUAACGAGUCCAAGUACCUAACGAGGCCCAAUUCAUAGUCGUACAAGUGACAACGUUUAGUCUGAAAACAAGCUAAGACCCAAUUCCUUAACUGGUCCAUUUACAA
Prunus mume (Japanese apricot) is the source of this 745-nucleotide long non-coding RNA. RefSeq lists it as uncharacterized. The record is from RefSeq and is a predicted model, not a curated record. Lineage: Eukaryota; Viridiplantae; Streptophyta; Magnoliopsida; Rosales; Rosaceae.